CUACGGGUCGCUGCAGUGAGGAAUAUUGCACAAUGGGGGGAACCCUGAUGCAGCAACGCCGCGUGGAGGAUGACGCAUUUCGGUGUGUAAACUCCUUUUAUAUGUCAAGAAAAUGACGGUAGCAUAUGAAUAAGCGCCGGCUAACUCCGUGCCAGCAGCCGCGGUAAUACGGAGGGUGCAAGCGUUACUCGGAAUCACUGGGCGUAAAGGACGCGUAGGCGGGUUGGAAAGUCAGGUGUGAAAUCUUACAGCUUAACUGUAGAACUGCACUUGAAACUUCUAAUCUAGAGUAUGGGAGGGGGAGAUGGAAUUAGUGGUGUAGGGGUAAAAUCCGUAGAUAUCACUAGGAAUACCUAAAGCGAAGGCGAUCUCCUGGAACAUUACUGACGCUAAGGCGUGAAAGCGUGGGGAGCAAACAGGAUUAGAUACCCUUGUAGUC
RNAcentral lists this ribosomal RNA (439 nucleotides) under uncultured bacterium. Its description in RNAcentral is "partial 16S ribosomal RNA". It matches the Rfam family "Bacterial small subunit ribosomal RNA", at positions 339 to 795 of the family's 1533-position model. The record is from RNAcentral.